Molecule: transfer RNA, 77 nt
Filed under: Candidatus Omnitrophica bacterium CG1_02_41_171
Lineage: Bacteria; Pseudomonadati; Candidatus Omnitrophota
Also listed under: 6 other names
Description: tRNA-Asp
Rfam family: tRNA
About the family: Transfer RNA (tRNA) molecules are approximately 80 nucleotides in length.
Source: RNAcentral
GGGGACGUAGCCCAGUGGCUUAAGGCUCCGGACUGUCGAUCCGGUGAUCGUGGGUUCGAAUCCCAUCGUCCCCGCUA